GACGAACGCUGGCGGCGUGCUUAACACAUGCAAGUCGAACGGAAAUGCCCUGCUUUUGUGGGGUGCUCGAGUGGCGAACGGGUGAGUAACACGUGAGUAACCUGCCCUUGACUUUGGGAUAACUUCAGGAAACUGGGGCUAAUACCGGAUAGGAGCUCCUGCUGCAUGGUGGGGGUUGGAAAGUUUCGGCGGUUGGGGAUGUACUCGCGGCUUAUCAGCUUGUUGGUGGGGUAGUGGCUUACCAAGGCUUUGACGGGUAGCCGGCCUGAGAGGGUGACCGGCCACAUUGGGACUGAGAUACGGCCCAGACUCCUACGGGAGGCAGCAGUGGGGAAUAUUGCACAAUGGGCGGAAGCCUGAUGCAGCAACGCCGCGUGCGGGAUGACGGCCUUCGGGUUGUAAACCGCUUUCGCCUGUGACGAAGCGUGAGUGACGGUAAUGGGUAAAGAAGCACCGGCUAACUACGUG
This 468-nucleotide ribosomal RNA is filed under the name uncultured bacterium. Its description in RNAcentral is "partial 16S ribosomal RNA". It matches the Rfam family "Bacterial small subunit ribosomal RNA", at positions 28 to 507 of the family's 1533-position model. The record is from RNAcentral.